RNAcentral lists this ribosomal RNA (468 nucleotides) under uncultured bacterium. RNAcentral describes it as "partial 16S ribosomal RNA". It matches the Rfam family "Bacterial small subunit ribosomal RNA", at positions 28 to 507 of the family's 1533-position model. The record is from RNAcentral.
GACGAACGCUGGCGGCGUGCUUAACGCAUGCAAGUCGAACGGAAAGGCCCUGCUUUUGUGGGGUGCUCGAGUGGCGAACGGGUGAGUAACACGUGAGUAACCUGCCCUUGACUUUGGGAUAACUUCAGGAAACUGGGGCUAAUACCGGAUAGGAGCUCCUGCUGCAUGGUGGGGGUUGGAAAGUUUCGGCGGUUGGGGACGGACUCGCGGCUUAUCAGCUUGUUGGUGGGGUAGUGGCUUACCAAGGCUUUGACGGGUAGCCGGCCUGAGAGGGUGACCGGCCACAUUGGGACUGAGAUACGGCCCAGACUCCUACGGGAGGCAGCAGUGGGGAAUAUUGCACAAUGGGCGGAAGCCUGAUGCAGCAACGCCGCGUGCGGGAUGACGGCCUUCGGGUUGUAAACCGCUUUCGCCUGUGACGAAGCGUGAGUGACGGUAAUGGGUAAAGAAGCACCGGCUAACUACGUG